GAUGAACGCUGGCGGCGUGCCUAAUACAUGCAAGUCGAGCGAACGGACGAGAAGCUUGCUUCUCUGAUGUUAGCGGCGGACGGGUGAGUAACACGUGGAUAACCUACCUAUAAGACUGGGAUAACUUCGGGAAACCGUAGCUAAUACCGGAUAAUAUUUUGAACCGCAUGGUUCAAAAGUGAAAGACGGUCUUGCUGUCACUUAUAGAUGGAUCCGCGCUGCAUUAGCUAGUUGGUAAGGUAACGGCUUACCGAGGCAACGAUGCAUAGCCGACCUGAGAGGGUGAUCGGCCACACUGGAACUGAGACACGGUCCAGACUCCUACGGGAGGCAGCAGUAGGGAAUCUUCCGCAAAGGGCGAAAGCCUGACGGAGCAACGCCGCGUGAGUGAUGAAGGUCUUCGGAUCGUAAAACUCUGUUAUUAGGGAAGAACAUAUGUGUAAGUAACUGUGCACAUCUUGACGGUACCUAAUCAGAAAGCCACGGCUAACUACGUG
Molecule: ribosomal RNA, 497 nt
Filed under: uncultured bacterium
Lineage: Bacteria
Description: partial 16S ribosomal RNA
Rfam family: Bacterial small subunit ribosomal RNA
Source: RNAcentral